GACGAACGCUGGCGGCGUGCCUAAUACAUGCAAGUAGAACGCACAGUUUAUACCGUAGCUUGCUACACCAUACACUGUGAGUUGCGAACGGGUGAGUAACGCGUAGGUAACCUGCCUGGUAGCGGGGGAUAACUAUUGGAAACGAUAGCUAAUACCGCAUAAUAUUGAUUAUUGCAUGAUAAUUGAUUGAAAGAUGCUAUUGCAUCACUACCAGAUGGACCUGCGUUGUAUUAGCUAGUAGGUGAGGUAACGGCUCACCUAGGCGACGAUACAUAGCCGACCUGAGAGGGUGCUCGGCCACACUGGGAGUGAGACACGGCCCAGACCCCUACGGGAGGCAGCAGUAGGGAAUCUUCGGCAAUGGACGAAAGUCUGACCGAGCAACGCCGCGUGAGUGAAGAAGGUUUUCGGAUCGUAAAGCUCUGUUGUAAGAGAAGAACGGGUGUGAGAGUGGAAAGUUCACACUGUGACGGUAUCUUACCAGAAAGGGACGGCUAACUACGUG
RNAcentral lists this ribosomal RNA (505 nucleotides) under uncultured bacterium. RNAcentral describes it as "partial 16S ribosomal RNA". It matches the Rfam family "Bacterial small subunit ribosomal RNA", at positions 28 to 507 of the family's 1533-position model. The record is from RNAcentral.